This 468-nucleotide ribosomal RNA is filed under the name uncultured bacterium. RNAcentral describes it as "partial 16S ribosomal RNA". It matches the Rfam family "Bacterial small subunit ribosomal RNA", at positions 28 to 507 of the family's 1533-position model. The record is from RNAcentral.
GACGAACGCUGGCGGCGUGCUUAACACAUGCAAGUCGAACGGAAAGGCCCUGCUUUUGUGGGGUGCUCGAGUGGCGAACGGGUGAGUAACACGUGAGUAACCUGCCCUUGACUUUGGGAUAACUUCAGGAAACUGGGGCUAAUACCGGAUAGGAGCUCCUGCUGCAUGGUGGGGGUUGGAAAGUUUCGGCGGUUGGGGAUGGACUCGCGGCUUAUCAGCUUGUUGGUGGGGUAGUGGCUUACCAAGGCUUUGACGGGUAGCCGGCCUGUGAGGGUGACCGGCGACAUGGGUACUACGAUACGGACCAGACUCCUACGGGAGGCAGCAGUGGGGAAUAUGGCACAAUGGGCGGAAGCCUGAUGCAGCAACGCCGCGUGCGGGAUGACGGCCUUCGGGUUGUAAACCGCUUUCGCCUGUGACGAAGCGUGAGUGACGGUAAUGGGUAAAGAAGCACCGGCUAACUACGUG